Acanthopagrus latus (yellowfin seabream) is the source of this 120-nucleotide ribosomal RNA. The record is from RefSeq and is a predicted model, not a curated record. NCBI's taxonomy places the organism in Eukaryota, Metazoa, Chordata, Actinopteri, Spariformes, Sparidae.
GCUUGCGGCCACACCGCCCUGAAUGCGCCCGAUCAUCGUCCGAUCUCGGAAGCCAAGCAGUGUCGGGCCUGGUUAGUACUGUGAUGGGUUACCGCCUGGGAAUUCCGGGUGCUGUAAGCU